GACGAACGCUGGCGGCGUGCUUAACACAUGCAAGUCGAACGGAAAGUCCCUGCUUUUGUGGGGUGCUCGAGUGGCGAACGGGUGGGUAACACGUGAGUAACCUGCCCUUGACUUUGGGAUAACUUCAGGAAACUGGGGCUAAUACCGGAUAGGAGCUCCUGCUGCAUGGUGGGGGUUGGAAAGUUUCGGCGGUUGGGGAUGGACUCGCGGCUUAUCAGCUUGUUGGUGGGGUAGUGGCUUACCAAGGCUUUGACGGGUAGCCGGCCUGAGAGGGUGACCGGCCACAUUGGGACUGAGAUACGGCCCAGACUCCUACGGGAGGCAGCAGUGGGGAAUAUUGCACAAUGGGCGGAAGCCUGAUGCAGCAACGCCGCGUGCGGGAUGACGGCCUUCGGGUUGUAAACCGCUUUCGCCUGUGACGAAGCGUGAGUGACGGUAAUGGGUAAAGAAGCACCGGCUAACUACGUG
Molecule: ribosomal RNA, 468 nt
Filed under: uncultured bacterium
Lineage: Bacteria
Description: partial 16S ribosomal RNA
Rfam family: Bacterial small subunit ribosomal RNA
Source: RNAcentral